ACGUGCUACAAUGGUUGGUACAAAGAGACGCAAUACGGCGACGUUAAGCAAAUCUCAAAAAACCAAUCCCAGUUCGGAUUGUAGGCUGCAACUCGCCUAC
This 100-nucleotide ribosomal RNA is filed under the name uncultured bacterium. RNAcentral describes it as "partial 16S ribosomal RNA". It matches the Rfam family "Bacterial small subunit ribosomal RNA", at positions 1220 to 1319 of the family's 1533-position model. The record is from RNAcentral.